Molecule: long non-coding RNA, 207 nt
Filed under: Phoenix dactylifera (date palm)
Lineage: Eukaryota; Viridiplantae; Streptophyta; Magnoliopsida; Arecales; Arecaceae
Description: long non-coding RNA (PDAC_LNC017832)
Source: RNAcentral
CAAAAAAAAAAAAAAACUUGUUUUUGCAUUUGAUUUAUUCUAUUACUUUCUUUUCUGAGCAAAUGCACAUGUAUUUUCAUAUUGAGUUUGUGCAAUUAUUAAGGCAAGGAACACAUGCAUACUAUGACUGAUCAGAGACCUAUUAUUAGAUCUCCACACGUGUACUUAAUGACAAUACGAAGGCCUCAGGAGUUUAUAUUUGUUAAC